GAUGAACGCUAGCGGGAGGCCUAACACAUGCAAGCCGAGCGGUAGAAUCUUUUCGGAGAUUUGAGAGCGGCGUACGGGUGAGGAACACGUGUGCAACCUGCCUUUAUCUGGGAGAUAGCCUUUCGAAAGGAAGAUUAAUAUCCCAUAAUAUAUUGAGUGGCAUCACUUAAUAUUGAAAGCUCCGGCGGAUAGAGAUGGGCACGCGCAAGAUUAGAUAGUUGGUGGGGUAACGGCUCACCAAGUCUACGAUCUUUAGGGGGCCUGAGAGGGUGAUCCCCCACACUGGUACUGAGACACGGACCAGACUCCUACGGGAGGCAGCAGUGAGGAAUAUUGGACAAUGGGUGCAAGCCUGAUCCAGCCAUCCCGCGUGAAGGAUUAAGGUCCUAUGGAUUGUAAACUUCUUUUAUACAGGGAUAAACCUCUCCUCGUGAGGAGAGCUGAAGGUACUGUAUGAAUAAGCACCGGCUAACUCCGUGCCAGCAGCCGCAGUAA
Molecule: ribosomal RNA, 495 nt
Filed under: uncultured bacterium
Lineage: Bacteria
Description: partial 16S ribosomal RNA
Rfam family: Bacterial small subunit ribosomal RNA
Source: RNAcentral